This 339-nucleotide ribosomal RNA is filed under the name uncultured bacterium. RNAcentral's name for it is "bacterial SSU rRNA". It matches the Rfam family "Bacterial small subunit ribosomal RNA", at positions 527 to 865 of the family's 1533-position model. The record is from RNAcentral.
GUAGGGAGCGAGCGUUGUCCGGAAUUACUGGGUGUAAAGGGAGCGUAGGCGGGACGGUAAGUCAGGUGUGAAAUAUACGUGCUCAACAUGUAGACUGCACUUGAAACUGCUGUUCUUGAGUGAAGUAGAGGUAAGCGGAAUUCCUAGUGUAGCGGUGAAAUGCGUAGAUAUUAGGAGGAACAUCGGUGGCGAAGGCGGCUUACUGGGCUUUUAUUGACGCUGAGGCUCGAAAGCGUGGGGAGCAAACAGGAUUAGAUACCCUGGUAGUCCACGCUGUAAACGAUGAUUACUAGGUGUGGGGGGACUGACCCCUUCCGUGCCGCAGUUAACACAAUAAGU